AGCAGCCGCGGUAAUUCCAGCUCCAAUAGCGUAUAUUAAAAGUUGUUGCAGUUAAAAAAGCUCGUAGUUGAACUUCGGGGUUUACCCAUUGGUCAGGCUUAAUUGUCUGUACUGGUGAGAUGAAUCUCUACCUUCUGAGGAACUUUCAUGCCAUUUAUUUGGUGUGAUGGGAAAUCAGGACUGUUACUUUGAAAAAAUUAGAGUGUUUAAAGCAGGCUAACGUCUGAAUACAUUAGCAUGGAAUAAUGAAAUAGGACGGACUGAUUCUAUUUCGUUGGUUUCUAGGAUCACCGUAAUGAUUAAUAGGGAUAGUUGGGGGCAUUAGUAUUCAAUUGUCAGAGGUGAAAUUCUUGGAUUUAUUGAAGACUAACUACUGCGAAAGCAUUUGCCAAGGAUGUUUUCAUUAAUCAAGAACGAAAGUUAGGGGAUCGAAGACGAUCAGAUACCGUCGUAGUCUUAACCAUAAACUAUGCCGACUAGGGAUCGGACGAAGUUGAUUUUAUAAUGACGCGUUCGGCAC
RNAcentral lists this ribosomal RNA (520 nucleotides) under uncultured Diversispora. RNAcentral's name for it is "SSU rRNA". It matches the Rfam family "Eukaryotic small subunit ribosomal RNA", at positions 569 to 1086 of the family's 1831-position model. The record is from RNAcentral. Lineage: Eukaryota; Fungi; Glomeromycota; Glomeromycetes; Diversisporales; Diversisporaceae.